RNAcentral lists this unclassified non-coding RNA (300 nucleotides) under plant metagenome. RNAcentral describes it as "partial contains 5.8S ribosomal RNA, internal transcribed spacer 2, and large subunit ribosomal RNA". The stretch from base 1 to 105 matches the Rfam family "5.8S ribosomal RNA", at positions 50 to 154 of the family's 154-position model. The record is from RNAcentral.
AAAAUGCGAUAAGUAAUGUGAAUUGCAGAAUUCAGUGAAUCAUCGAAUCUUUGAACGCACAUUGCGCCCGCCAGUAUUCUGGCGGGCAUGCCUGUUCGAGCGUCAUUUCAACCCUCAAGCUCAGCUUGGUGUUGGGACUCGCGGUAACCCGCGUUCCCCAAAUCGAUUGGCGGUCACGUCGAGCUUCCAUAGCGUAGUAAUCAUACACCUCGUUACUGGUAAUCGUCGCGGCCACGCCGUAAAACCACAACUUCUGAAUGUUGACCUCGGAUCAGGUAGGAAUACCCGCUGAACUUAAGC